UACGUAGGUCCCGAGCGUUGUCCGGAUUUAUUGGGCGUAAGGCGAGCGCAGGUGGUUUAUUAAGUCUGGUGUAAAAGGCAGUGGCUCAACCAUUGUAUGCAUUGGAAACUGGUAGACUUGAGUGCAGGAGAGGAGAGUGGAAUUCCAUGUGUAGCGGUGAAAUGCGUAGAUAUAUGGAGGAACACCGGUGGCGAAAGCGGCUCUCUGGCCUGUGACUGACACUGAGGCUCGAAAGCGUGGGGAGCAAACAGG
This 252-nucleotide ribosomal RNA is filed under the name uncultured bacterium. Its description in RNAcentral is "partial 16S ribosomal RNA". It matches the Rfam family "Bacterial small subunit ribosomal RNA", at positions 524 to 776 of the family's 1533-position model. The record is from RNAcentral.